GUUUAACGGCCGCGGUAUUUUGACCGUGCAAAGGUAGCAUAAUCAUUAGCUUCGUAAUUGGGGGCUUGUAUGAAUGGGUUUACAAAGUGGGUGCUGUCUCUUGACUCUUUUUUGAAAUUUCUUUUCUAGUGAAGAAGCUAGAUUUUUUUCGUAGGACGAGAAGACCCUAUUGAGCUUUACUUUUAUUUUUUCUUUUUCUAUUUGUUUAUAUUUGCUUUAGGAUUGGGUUUAAGUUUGAUUGGGGCGAUCGAGGAAUAAUUUAACUUCCUUAUUUUUCUUUACUUUUUUGUGUUUUAAAGAUCCGAGUAUUUCGAUUAUUAGAAUAAGUUACCAUAGGGAUAACAGCGUAAUUUUUUUUUAGAGUUCUUAUCGAUAAAAAAGUUUGCGACCUCGAUGUUGGACUAGGAUAUCCUAGCGGGGCAGUUUUUGCUAAGGGUAGGUCUGUUCGACCUUUAAAAUCCU
Molecule: ribosomal RNA, 462 nt
Filed under: Carinoma sp. white
Lineage: Eukaryota; Metazoa; Nemertea; Palaeonemertea; Carinomiformes; Carinomidae
Description: partial 16S ribosomal RNA
Rfam family: Bacterial large subunit ribosomal RNA
Source: RNAcentral